This 467-nucleotide ribosomal RNA is filed under the name uncultured bacterium. RNAcentral's name for it is "partial 16S ribosomal RNA". The stretch from base 20 to 329 matches the Rfam family "Bacterial small subunit ribosomal RNA", at positions 47 to 358 of the family's 1533-position model. The record is from RNAcentral.
GACGAACGCUGGCGGCGUGCUUAACACAUGCAAGUCGAACGGAAAGGCCCUGCUUUUGUGGGGUGCUCGAGUGGCGAACGGGUGAGUAACACGUGAGUAACCUGCCCUUGACUUUGGGAUAACUUCAGGAAACUGGGGCUAAUACCGGAUAGGAGCUCCUGCUGCAUGGUGGGGGUUGGAAAGUUUCGGCGGUUGGGGAUGGACUCGCGGCUUAUGAGCUUGUUGGUGGGGUAGUGGAUUACAAAGGCUUUGACGGGUAGCCGGCCUGGGAGGGUGACAGGGCACAGAGGGAGAGGGAAGGGAGCAGGAGGGAAACGGGAGGCAGGGGGGGAAAAGAGAGGGAGAAGGGCGGAGGGAGGAAGGAGGAACGUCGGGUGCGGAAAGACGGCUUUCGGGGAGGAAAAAGCUUGCGCGUGUGAAGAAGCGUGAGGAAGGGAAAUGGGUAAAGAAGCACGGGCAAACAACGU